UACGUAGGGACCGAGCGUUGUCCGGAAUCAUUGGGCGUAAAGAGCGUGUAGGCGGCCAGGUAGGUGGGUUGUGAAAACUGGAGGCUCAACCUUCAGACGUCGAUCCAAACCCCCUGGCUAGAGUCCGGAAGAGGAGAGUGGAAUUCCUGGUGUAGCGGUGAAAUGCGCAGAUAUCAGGAAGAACACCCGUGGCGAAGGCGGCUCUCUGGGACGGUACUGACGCUGAGACGCGAAAGCGUGGGGAGCGAACAGG
This 253-nucleotide ribosomal RNA is filed under the name uncultured bacterium. RNAcentral's name for it is "partial 16S ribosomal RNA". It matches the Rfam family "Bacterial small subunit ribosomal RNA", at positions 524 to 776 of the family's 1533-position model. The record is from RNAcentral.